Molecule: long non-coding RNA, 7172 nt
Filed under: Sus scrofa (pig)
Lineage: Eukaryota; Metazoa; Chordata; Mammalia; Artiodactyla; Suidae
Description: lncRNA (ENSSSCG00015009704.1)
Source: RNAcentral
CAUGCCACAUGCCCUAAAAGGCCAAAAAAAAAAAAAAAUCGCAAUGACCGCUAAUGUGUAUCGAGCAUGUAUAAAUAAGCACUUUGUAUGUGUAACCUCAUCUAAACUUCGCAACGACCCUGCAAGGUGAUUGCUCCAUUUUAUUCCAUUUUCCUGAUGGAGAAGUUGGGUGCCAGUGAGGAAUGGCCAUUUACAGUGAGUAAGUGCUGGAGCUGGACUUGAGCCCAGCUUAUCCGACUCCAGAGUCUGUGCUAAUCACGAGUCCUUUGUGAGUCCCAGGCCAUGCUUCUGUUCCUCCCUGGGAAGUGGCUCAAGCUGCCUGCCUCUGUCCUUCUGGUUGACUCCCCCUGCUUAUGUACUUGGCUGCCAUAUUGAUUUUCCUAAUCUCAUCACCGCCCCACCACCACCUGUACAAGCUUCAAUUCCUUUGCCUGCCACUCUGGUUCCUCUGAUCUAGCUAAAGCUCACCUCUGGGCUCCUGGCCCUCACUGCCAUUCCUCUGGCUGCUUGCACGAAAUCAGCAGGCUAGACUCUCAGUGUUCUUACAGAUGCCCUCAUGCCUGAGGCCCUUGCUGGUUGUGCCUUCUGGCUGGAAUUUCUCCUCUCCUCUCAUUCUAGGCCCCAACUGCACAUGCCCAGAUCUUGCCCAUCUCGUCGGGCUUCGCUCAGCUGCCUCCAUUGGCAUUGGGCCUUUCUUGAUUUCCUCAGCUGGGCCCAAAUUCUCCCUUCUCUCUCCUUGCAUAGGAUUCAAACUGUCUUAGGCCACUAACCACUUCCAUAUCAUGCAUACAUACAUGUGGUCAGCCAUUCAACAUGUUCUGAGCCUCUCGCAUGCAGUGCUGCAUGUAGAAAUAGGUCCCAGCCCUGAGAGUACUAACUGCAUGGAGACUUGAUACCAGUGUGGGCCAGGAUAUGUCUGUUUUGAAUGAGUGAAAGCACUCGAUACUCCCUGAUGUUUAAAGGAGGUCUGGAGGGGGACCCAGUGAUGAGUUGGAUGUGCUGUGUAGAAAGCUGGGUGGUUGGUCCUUUAUCGCCGUCUAUGCCAGCAGACCUUCUGACUUGUCUAGGAAGGAGCAAAUUGAAACAGCCCCUCUUUCAUCCUCUUCUGAGGAUGGCCUGCUCUUCUGGCUCAGACACCUCCCCUCUACGUGCCUGGCUUGCUCCUGGGGGCCAGGUGCUCACAAAUGGCCAGGAUGUCGUGAGCAAGACUAGCAGGGUUUAUGAUUGUCCUGAGGGCUUCCUGUGGUUGGGGGCAGCCUGACCUUGCAAGUGAACCAAGACUGUCCACCUGUCCACCAAGACUUUCCAAAUGCUGUGCUGAGUCCACGGAGUCAUGUUUAAGCUCUGGGUGUGGAGGAAAGAGAGAAACACCAAGUUUUAUAGAAAGUUCUAGAGCAGGGGUCAGCAAACCCCAGUCCACGGGCCAGAGUCUGGCCUGCCCCCUGUGUGUGUCCAGCCCACAAGCAGAGAAUGGUUCUGGCAUGUUUGAACGCAUGGGGGAAAAUAUCAAAAGAAGGAGAGUAUUUCAUGGCAAGUGAAAAUGAUAUGAAAUUCAAAUUGCCACGUCCAUAAAUAAAGUUGUGCUGGAACACAGCCCUGCUCGUUUGUUUCCAUCUCGUCCGUGGUUGCUUAGGCGCCACAACAGCAGCGCUGAGGAGUUACGACAGAGUUCGCAAUGCCCACGAAGCCUAAAUAUUUAUUCUCUGGCCCUCUACGGGGUGAAGUUCUUUCUAGAUCCAUCCCUUUUGGUCAAGAAUAAAGGAUCCCCAGCGUGCAGGGCCAGUCAGCUAGAGGCCCGGGAUCAAAGGCACAUGUUCAGGGGCCUGCAAAUGGACAAAGCCUUGGCUUGGGGUUUGGUAUCCUGAGUUUCUGUGUGGUUUGGGGUGAGACCUUCUCCUCGCUGGGUCAUCGGUUUGGGCUGCGUGGUCUCUAAGGCCCCAUCUCCCUCACAGGUGGGUGUGCUGCUCUGGUCUACAGGGUGUGUAUUGCAGAAGGAUGGCUCCGGGGCUUCGGCCUGGGGACCCAUCAGGGUCCCAGCUUGGCCCACUGGUGGACACAGGAGCCCCUUGGCUGCCCCACCAGGAGCCCCUUGGCUCCCCCACCACUCACCAGGACCACCAUCUCUUUCCCCCCAUCGAUCUGUGUUUGGACUCAGUUCAGCUAAUUUUUGAAGCACCCCAGGUCUAGGCGGACUGUAAUUAUGUAAUUCGUCCUUGUUAUCUUUUCUAAUUGUUCUCAGAGCUGUUUCCUAAACUGAUUGGAAACAAUUGCAGGCAGGGAAUGGAGUGGGAAGUAGGCAAGGACCUGGCGGCCGGCCAGGACCAGGCUGUCUGCUGGAGGCCCUGUCUGAGGGGGUGGGCGCAGGGUGGGGACGGAGAGGGUGACUGCCCACGGUUCCUUGCAUCUGGGCAGUGGGGGGGACAAGAAGAAACCCUCAGCGAGGCUCGGUUUAAUCAUUCGCAAAUAACAACCCUCCCUCCCCACAGGCCGGCUGUUUUCCCUUUCUUGGCGGCUUCUGUGACGCUGGUACAACUCCCUAGGGAUUCUGCCCCGGGCCAACAGGGAGCAGCGCCCUUCCCUCCUGGCUCUGAAUUGUUUGUGCUUUCUUGACAGAAAAAAAUUGCAACUCUUGAGCCAUCCAUCACCCCCCGCCGAAAGCCAGGGAGGGCAAGGGGAGGGACGAGGUGGGACUUCCUGCCACUUCGGGUCAGAGCGGGAGAAAAGGGACUCUCUGGGUCAUGUCUCCCGGGAAGGGCAGCCAAGGUGCUACUUUCCGUGGGCCAGAACCCCAGGAAAGGGACCCACAUGUUCCCUGCAGGACCCUGCUGUGGGAAACGUGGCCCCUGGCUGCACAGUGCUCUGCGCCGCUGGGGCCAGGCAGAGGACAGCACAUGCUGGCACUUGGUCGGGGGCACCCAUCUCUUCCUCCUGCUCUUCCUUAAGGUGAGCCUCAGCUCCUUGUCUGUGACCAUGACAUCCCCCCCCUCGCCCAUUCCUCUCCUCACCUGCCUGCAGAAACCUUGUGAGACGACUCCCAAUAAAAGUGCCAAGGGUCCAGCAUUCCUAUCCUGGCUCAUCGGUAAUGAACCUGAUUAGUAUCCAUGAGGAUGAGGGUUUGAUCCCUGGCCCUGCUCAGUGAGUGAAGAAUCCAGCGUUGCCGUGAGCUGUGGUGUAGGUCGCAGACGUGGCUCGGAUCCCGUGUUGCUGUGGCCCUGGUGUUGGCCGGCAGCUGCAGCUCCAAUUUUAAUCCCUAGCCUGGACCAUAUGCUGCAAGUAUGGCCCUAAAGAGAGAAGAAAAUGCCGAGUUUCCUAGAAAGGGCAGAUGAGCUGGGACAGGGAGGAGACACCCACCGUGCGGGGCACUUAAUGCCCCCCCCACCUGUCGUCAGCAUCGUCUCUGUUAAAUUCACAAACCCCCUCUGAGGGAGGGGAGAUGGGAGGCCCAUUCUUCAAUGGGGAAAAGAAGGGUUGAACGAUUCCACAAACACGGGUGAAGCACCCCGUGUGUGACAGGGACUAGAGAAGGCGCUGGACACAGGAGGUGGAAGCAGACGGACCUGACCCUCCAGGCUGCCAUGAUGGUGAAGCCAUGUGUCUGCCUCCCAGCUCCUUCCAUCAGACUGAAGCUGCCCGUCGAGGCAGAGACGGGUUAAGCAGACUCCGCGUUAUUUGCUUGGAGGACCUCAGCCCAGGGUCCCUUUGUGUAUUGGGGGGGGGGGAGCGAGGAACCAUCACUGGGGUGUGGCGGGGCACGGGGCACAGGUGUCCAUCUGCUGGGUACCACUCUCUCCCUCUUCUUGUUUCCCAGCUGCUGGACGAGAGUGUGAGGGGUGCCUGUGGCAUGUUGGGGACCCAAAGUCCAGCCCUCUCCCAAGAUUGCUGGAACCUCCCGCCACCUCUACAGCUUAGCAUUGCCUUGGUUGGGACAUCUAGGGGUCACUGACCCAUUUCACGGCAGAGCCCGCUCCUGUGCCCCAUUUCCUGUUCCGUCAGGGAGGUCGGUCUCCAGACGGUAGUUGUCAGUAGAUCCAGCCUGUGUGGCCCUGGAGGGGACUCUGGGGCCCAGCAUUUCUCAGCCUUUUCCUCAUUAUCACUUUUCUCCACUAGGAGGAAAAGUCAACUAAAUUGAGAUUUUUUGAGUGAGGAGGUAGCCAAGGUAUGAGAAUUUGAGUUUUGGAAGGUCACAGAGGCUGUAAUAACCAAGAGGGGGUUGCCCUCCUUUUUUGCCCUCUUGGGGGCGCUGUUGCCCCCUUGAGAAUGCAUGUCGUCGGCUUUCCAGAACUUGUUUCCAAAUUAGGUACCAUUUCUCUGUAGUCUCCUUUAACACAUAAAAACAAGGGUCUUCGCGAAUGAAGAACACGGUUUCAAGGACCGAGUCAGACACACAAAUUUGGCACUAAAUCUGCUGCUGGAGCAAAUGGUUCUCCAUGUCUGAGCCUCACUUUUUCCAUUUAUAAAACUCAGAACCUGCUUCUGCUCCCUCAACCAACCAGGAGGCCACCCCUAGGGUCAUGCACGCCUGAUACUGGCCACACGCGUGGGCCUCACAGUGGGGUCAGGGGUCAAGGCCCUAUUCUUCCCUUAGCACCCUCACCUCCCAGCCAGAGGAGGGGUGCCCCAGUGGGCGGAGCCCUGCUCUCACCCCCAUGGCUGGCAGCUCUUCGGUCGUCACUGUGGGACAGUAGAAGGCUGGGGAUGGGCUGCGCUGGUGGGUGGGGUUUGCAGGAGAAUCAGGGGACUGUGCGGCCCCUUUGUCGUCUUCUCCUUGGCCUCCCUUCUUUCUGCAGCCCUGUUUGAGCACGGGUUUCCCUCUGCCGGGAAGGUCUUCUUGCUCCUUCUCCAGGGACCAAAACCCCACUGGACUGCCUUCCUUCUGAGCGGGGAGCCUCUGGCCUGCACUCCAUGAAGUGUGUUCUCAGCUUUAGGGCCACUGGAUAGGGUGAGCCUGGGGGAAGCAGAAGGGCUGCAGAAGCCCCCGGAGGCCUCCAGAGAGGAACAAGCAAGUCACCCAGGGUCCCACCCGGUCACCUGAUGCAUAGCUUCAUGGGCGGCACAAAUGAGAAACAGGCUCCUGGAGUCUGGCCAUGGCUUCUCUUUCCUCCAGCGUCUCGCUCCUCCCUCUUUUUCUCUUCCCUUCCUUCCUCCUUGAGUCCGUGCCUGGCUGGGUGUCCGCCCGCUGGCCUGCCUCUGAUUGGGCUGAAAGGCAGGUACCCCCAGUCAAGGCAGGGCUUGAGGUGGGAUGGGAGGAGGAGGCGUGGGGGGAAGGGGGGCGAAGAGGGGCCCAAUAAGUGGAAAUUAGCCCCUCCCCCCACCGCCCAGGUCAGCCCACCGAGUCCCUUCCCUUUCCCAUCAAGGUCAUAAAAUCCACUUCUAACUUUUACCAAUUUCCCCGCUAGUACCAGAAACACACAAUUAGCUUUAAACGUGUCUCCAAGCUGUGGCCAGUUAGAAAUUUAUGACUUUUUCUUUUUUUUUUUUCUUUUAAAGCUUUCCUUUAAAGUGGCUAAUUAGGUGUAUUUCUCCAAUAGCAAUUUUUAAAAUGCUAAUUGGUCUGCACUCUGGAAGGAGGGGAACUUUCCCCCUUUAUUAUCUCAGCGCUGAGGAGGCAUGGGAGGGACCAGCCCAGCCUGAGUGGUCUGCAGCCUCCAAGGCCAGGGGCCCGGCGCCGGCCUUUUAUGGCUUUGGCAGCGAGGAGGGGGUCAGGGAGAAAGGUUUUCCGUGUUCCAGGCGGCUUCCUUGGGAAGGGGGUGUGGCACAGAGCAUCUGCGGAGGGCUACCGGGGAAGGGCAGGGCCACAGUGGUUCACCCACCUGGUGCAGUGGGGCCCAGACAGAUGCCUUCACAGUGGCUUCCAGGAAGGAUGGAAGGGAGGGGAGGGUGCCUGGAGAGCUGACCCCUAGCAAGACUAGCACAGAUCUUGAGGGCUGCUAAACCCCAAGUAGGCAGAAUAUGCACUUUAGGGGAGGCUGUUUAUUCCAAGAACAAUUCCAAAUCGAACUUUCUCAAAGGGGCAGAGGCCAUGGUGUGUGGUGUCCUCACAAACUCUUGACUCCUUGGCUAAAGGGCUUGCUCGGGAGAUGGUCUGGGGCAUCCAGACCAUGCUGCCCCAGGGUUGCACCACCCAGCAUGGGCUGGUGGGGUGGUGGUGGGGGGCAGUGAGCAGUGCCUUCUUCUGGAGGAAUGUCACGUUUUCCCCUGGGUGCAGGCACUCGUGGCUCUCGUCCUGCCAUCCAUCCCCGUGCGUUGCUAUGCGAAUAACACAAUUACGAAGACACAGCACAGGAAUAAACGGAAAACAUUCUGCAGCAGGGGGAGUGGGAGGGAGGACCAGUCACAAACAGAUAUUUUGUUAUUGGAUCAUUUCGGGGAGGAGUGGAAUUCUUUAAAUCCUGGGCUGUUGUAGAAGGGAGGAGUGAUGGACAAUUGAACAGAUUCCUCAGUUUUAUUUUUCAACAUUAGCUUGUUUUAUGCAUCUCUCCCAGCUCACCUCCUCUCUUUGGCUCCAUUGCCCUCUCGAGGAAAACCAGAUGCUACUCUAGCCCCGAGUCUGCAACCACGGCCCUACUCUGCUCAUGGACUCAGUUUACCCAUCAGUCAACUAGGAGGGGAGGCUGCCCCAGAAUUGGCCGAGGACAGAUGGAUUAGGGCGGGUGGAGCGGGGUCUGAAUCCUGGCUCUGCCCUUCCCAGCUGGGUGAGCUUGGGAGCAUCACUUGACUUCCUAAGCUUUGGUCUAUUGGGAAUGAAUCAAAUGAAAUAAUGCUCAAAUUGUGCAAAGUGGAAAUAGAGCCUUGAUACAAUUGUUAACACAAAAGUGAACUGAGAUGGUGGAUGCAAAGUAUCAGGCAUGGAGCUGGAAACGUGUGGCUCUCUGGAGGGCGGCUUCUACCUUAAGAAUAAUCUUUCUUGGGAGCUCCCAUUUGGGCUCAGUGGGUUACAAACCUGACUAGUAUCCAUGAGGACGCAGGUUCAAUCCCUGACCUCGCUCGGUGGGUUAAGGAUCGGGCAUGGCCAUGAGGUUUGAUAUAGGUCGCAGAUACGGCUCGGAUCUGGCAUUGCUGCAGCUAUGGCACAGACAGGCAGCUGCAGCUCCAGUUCAGCCCCUAGUCUGGGAACUUCCAUAUGCCGCAGGUAUGAGCCUCAAAAGCCAAAAAAAAAAAAAAAACAAAAAAAA